GUGGGAUCCCGNCCCCCUUCUCACGGAGGGGCCGGGCGCACCACCGGCCCGUCUCGUCCCGCACCGUCGGGGAGGUGGAGCAUGAGCGCGCGCGAAUAGGAUCCCGAAAGAUGGUGAACUAUGCCUGGGCAGGGC
This 135-nucleotide ribosomal RNA is filed under the name Capros aper (boarfish). RNAcentral's name for it is "partial 28S ribosomal RNA". The record is from RNAcentral. Lineage: Eukaryota; Metazoa; Chordata; Actinopteri; Caproiformes; Caproidae.